CCUACGGGAGGCAGCAGUGGGGAAUAUUGCACAAUGGGGGAAACCCUGAUGCAGCGACGUCGCGUGAGUGAUGAAGUAUUUCGGUAUGUAAAGCUCUAUCAGCAGGGAAGAAAAUGACGGUACCUGACUAAGAAGCCCCGGCUAACUACGUGCCAACAGCCGGGGUAACACGUAGGGGGCAAGCGUUAUCCGGAUUUGCGGGGUGUAAAGGGAGCGUAGACGGGGGUGCAAGCCAGCUGUGAAAGCCCGGGGCUCAACCCCGGGACUGCAGUUGAAACUGGGCUGCUAGAGUGGGGGAGAGGCAGGCGGAAUGCGUGGUGUAGCGGUGAAAUGCGUAGAUAUUAGGAGGAACACCAGUGGCGAAGGCGGCCUGCUGGACGAUGACUGACGUUGAGGCUCGAAAGCGUGGGGAGCGAACAGGAUUAGAUACCCUGGUAGUC
RNAcentral lists this ribosomal RNA (440 nucleotides) under uncultured bacterium. Its description in RNAcentral is "partial 16S ribosomal RNA". It matches the Rfam family "Bacterial small subunit ribosomal RNA", at positions 338 to 795 of the family's 1533-position model. The record is from RNAcentral.